UGGGGGAUAUUGCACAAUGGGCGCAAGCCUGAUGCAGCGACGCCGCGUGGGGGAUGAAGGCCUUCGGGUUGUAAACUUCUUUUGCUCUGAACAAGGCGCACUUUGGGGUGUGUUGAGUGUAGGGGUUGAUUAGCGCCGGCUAACUACGUGCCAGCAGCCGCGGUAAUACGUAGGGCGCGAGCGUUGUCCGGAAUUAUUGGGCGUAAAGGGCUUGUAGGUGGCUGGUUGCGUCUGUCGUGAAAGCUCAUGGCUUAACUGUGGGUUUGCGGUGGGUACGGGCUGGCUUGAGUGCAGUAGGGGAGGCUGGAAUUCCUGGUGUAGCGGUGGAAUGCGCAGAUAUCAGGAGGAAUAACGGUGGCGAAGGAGGGUCUCUGGGCUGUUACUGACACUGAGGAGCGAAAGCAUGGGGAGCGAACAGG
Molecule: ribosomal RNA, 419 nt
Filed under: bacterium
Lineage: Bacteria
Description: partial 16S ribosomal RNA
Rfam family: Bacterial small subunit ribosomal RNA
Source: RNAcentral